UACGGAGGAUGCAAGCGUUAUCCGGAUUUAUUGGGUUUAAAGGGUGCGUAGGCGGCUUUUUAAGUCAGCGGUGAAAUUUUGCAGCUUAACUGUAACAGUGCCGUUGAUACUGGGGAGCUAGGAUUUGGUUGCUGUGGGUGGAAUGUGUGGUGUAGCGGUGAAAUGCUUAGAUAUCACACAGAAUAUCGAUUGCGAAGGCAGCUCACAAAGCCAAGAUUGACGCUGAGGCACGAAAGUGUGGGGAUCAAACAGGA
RNAcentral lists this ribosomal RNA (254 nucleotides) under uncultured prokaryote. Its description in RNAcentral is "partial 16S ribosomal RNA". It matches the Rfam family "Bacterial small subunit ribosomal RNA", at positions 524 to 777 of the family's 1533-position model. The record is from RNAcentral.